RNAcentral lists this ribosomal RNA (301 nucleotides) under uncultured bacterium. Its description in RNAcentral is "partial 16S ribosomal RNA". It matches the Rfam family "Bacterial small subunit ribosomal RNA", at positions 509 to 807 of the family's 1533-position model. The record is from RNAcentral.
CAGCCGCCGCGGUAAUACGUAGGGUGCAAGCGUUAAUCGGAAUUACUGGGCGUAAAGCGUGCGCAGGCGGUCCGCUAAGACAGAUGUGAAAUCCCCGGGCUUAACCUGGGAACUGCAUUUGUGACUGGCGGGCUAGAGUAUGGCAGAGGGGGGUAGAAUUCCACGUGUAGCAGUGAAAUGCGUAGAGACGUGGAGGAAUACCGAUGGCGAAGGCAGCCCCCUGGGCCAAUACUGACGCUCAUGCACGAAAGCGUGGGGAGCAAACAGGAUUAGAUACCCCUGUAGUCCCUGUCUCUUAUAC